AAAGCAGAAUUAAUUUACAAAUAACAUGUUGUUCCUUUUAGUACAUUUUUAAAAAGACAUCUUCAUCAAGUAAGUAAGAA
RNAcentral lists this long non-coding RNA (80 nucleotides) under Carlito syrichta (Philippine tarsier). Its description in RNAcentral is "Deleted in lymphocytic leukemia 2 conserved region 3 (ENSTSYG00000027334.1)". It matches the Rfam family "Deleted in lymphocytic leukemia 2 conserved region 3". The record is from RNAcentral. Lineage: Eukaryota; Metazoa; Chordata; Mammalia; Primates; Tarsiidae.